GUCUAUGGCCAUACCACCUGAAUGUGCCCGAUCUCAUCUGAUCUCGGAAGCUAAGCAGGGUCGGACCUGGUUAGUACUUGGAUGGGAGACUGUCUAAAAUCCAAAUGGAACCCACUCACA
RNAcentral lists this ribosomal RNA (120 nucleotides) under Carlito syrichta (Philippine tarsier). The record is from RNAcentral. Lineage: Eukaryota; Metazoa; Chordata; Mammalia; Primates; Tarsiidae.